GCAGCAGCCACGGGAAUACGUAGGGCGCAAGCGUUGUCCGGAAUUAUUGGGCGUAAAGAGCUCGUAGGCGGUCUGUCGCGUCUGGUGUGAAAUCCCGAGGCUCAACCUCGGGCUUGCAUCGGGUACGGGCAGACUAGAGUGCGGUAGGGGAGACUGGAAUUCCUGGUGUAGCGGUGAAAUGCGCAGAUAUCAGGAGGAACACCGAUGGCGAAGGCAGGUCUCUGGGCAUUAACUGACGCUGAGGUACGAAAGCAUGGGGAGCAAACAGGAUUAGAUACCCCUGUAGUCCCUGUCUCUUAUAC
RNAcentral lists this ribosomal RNA (302 nucleotides) under uncultured bacterium. RNAcentral describes it as "partial 16S ribosomal RNA". It matches the Rfam family "Bacterial small subunit ribosomal RNA", at positions 508 to 807 of the family's 1533-position model. The record is from RNAcentral.